This 64-nucleotide transfer RNA is filed under the name Phlugiolopsis tuberculata. Its description in RNAcentral is "tRNA-His". The record is from RNAcentral. Lineage: Eukaryota; Metazoa; Arthropoda; Insecta; Orthoptera; Tettigoniidae.
AUUUAAGUAGUUUAUUUAAAAUAUUGAUUUGUGGUGUCAAUGAAGUAGAAUUCUACCUUAAAUC